RNAcentral lists this ribosomal RNA (2991 nucleotides) under Cajanus cajan (pigeon pea). Its description in RNAcentral is "bacterial LSU rRNA". The stretch from base 537 to 2988 matches the Rfam family "Bacterial large subunit ribosomal RNA". Lineage: Eukaryota; Viridiplantae; Streptophyta; Magnoliopsida; Fabales; Fabaceae. The record is from RNAcentral.
AGCUUAAAGUAAAAACGUCAUGGGAGGGAUAGAAAAAGAAAGAAAGAUAGGAAAGAAUCUUCCCCCGUAUAUUAAGCCAUCAUUCAAUAAAGCGUCGUGACAUCAAAAUGUGAGAUUGAAGCCUUCUCCUUCGCAUUUGCUUCUUAGCUUAAAUAGCUUAUAGGCUUCUUUCCUUCCUGCACUCAUUCACUCCAGUGGUAAGGGCUUGGAAGCCUUUGAUGGAAUGGUAUAGUUGAACUAGGCUUUUCACCAGCCAUUCCUAUAGUAGGUCUACCGUGAGUGGAAAGAAGGCAACGAUUAAUCUUUUAUAAGCCCUCACUCUUAUAAAAGCCCGAACUCAUUGCCUACCACGAAUUCAAGAGGGGACUCCUUGUCAAAGAAAGGAAUGACAGUGGGUUCCAUAGAGCUUCUCAUAGAAAUACAAAAAGAAAAGAAAGGACUGACUUAAAGCAUUCCCCUUCACCCUUUCAAUAAAAUGCUUAUGAAGUAGCUUAGCCGACUCAAGGGUACUGAUUUAUAGGCGAAGAAGGAGAAGGAAGGUAGUUAGCUUUAGCUUAAGAUAAGAAAGAAAAAGCUAGUCAGCGAAGGGAAAUGAGCAGAGAAGUCAAUGCACCAGAUCCCGAUCCUUUAGCCACCUAAGAAAAUGGAGUUGAAGGAAAGCAGAAUCAUACAGAACAGGUUGAAGAGAGCUCUAACAGGCCUUGGAGGACCGAACCCACAUAUGUGGCAAAAUACGGGGAUGACUUGUGGCUAGGGGUGAAAGGCCAACCAAGAUCGAAUAUAGCUAGUUUUUCGUGAAAUCUAUUUCAGUAGAGCGUAUGAUGUCGAUGGCCCAAGGUAGAGCACUCAAUGGGCUAGGGUGGCCCCAUUUCGCCUUACCAACCCCAGGGAAACUUUGAAUACAAGCCUAGAUCAUUUGUACAGACAAACUUUAGGGUGCUAAGAUCCAAAGUCGAGAGGAAAACAGCCCAGAUCGUAUGCUAAGGUCCCAAAGCAAUCCCUUAGUGGAAAAGGAAGUGAUCGAGCGAUGACAACCAGGAGGUGGGCUUUGAAGCAGCCAUCCUUUGAAGAAAGCGUAAUAGCUCACUAGUCUAGCUCCAUGGCACCGAAAAUGUAUCAGGGCUCAAGUGAUUCACCGAAGCUACGACACCUUGAAAGUUGCUUUUUCAAGUGUCAGUAGCGAGACGUUCUACCAAUCGGGGAAGGUUUUUGGUGACAAAACUUGGAGAUAUUAGAAGUGAGAAUGCUGACAUGAGUAAUGAGAAAUCCUGUGAAAAACAUGAUCACCUUCCAGUGGAAGGCUUUCUAUGCUCAGUCAAUCUAUGUAGAGUGAAUCGGUCCCUAAGGAAGCCCCAACCUCAAAAGGGAUGUCGUCCGAUGGGUACACGAAAGUGACGAAGUUUCUUUGACUAUAGAACCAUGCCUGUCUGUUGGAGUGAAUUGGAUGAUUAGGCCGAGGGCUGCCCCCUUUCCCCUCACUCUCCUUUCCCUAAUAUGAACCUUGCUUGAGUCAUCAAAGCCUUUCUGACUCGGCUUGGCUCGAUCGUCCUACGCGACUAGCACUUCAAAAGGUAGUUGACUUGCUUACUCGUUAAAGUAGGGGUCGCGAGAGAGCAGAGCGUACCGCCCUGCCAUAGUAGCGAGUCUGUUUAUAGUCGCGACUGUUGUCAUAGUCAACCAGGUUGAAACUUCCAGGAAAAAACUUUGAAUUGGGAGGGCAAUCCUCCCGGUGAACUGACCGUACCCCAAUCCAUCCUCCCGGUGAACUGACCGUACCCCAAACCGACACAGAUGAACAAGUAGAGUAUACUAGGGCGCUUGAGAGAACCAUGUCGAAGGAACUCGACAAAAUGACCCCGUAACUUCGGGAGAAGGGGUGCUCUCCUAUCUUUUGAUUAGGAAAGCGGCACAUACUAGGGGUUAGCGACUGUUUAUUAAAAACACAAGACUCUACUAAGUGGUAACACGAUGUAUAGAGUCUGACACCUGCCCGAUGCUGGAAGGUCGAAAGGAGAAGUGUUAUAAGCUUUGAGUGGAAGCCCUGAUAAACAGUGACAGUAACUCUAACUAUCCUAAGGUAGCGAAGUUCCUUGUUGCAUAAGUAGCGACCUGCACGGAUGGUGUAACAACUGUCCCCCUGUCUCUGACAUGGACCCGGUGAAAUUGAAUUCUCCGUGAAGAUGAAGAGUACCAACGGCUAGACGGUAAUACCCCGUGCACCUUAACUAUAGCUUCGCAGUGACAACCUUGAUCGAAUGUGUAGGAUAGGUGGGAGGUGAUGACACAGAACAACCAAUCCUGAAAGACCAAUCUUUCGUCUAAGGAUGCCUAACCGCUGCACCCAAAAUUUGGGGGGGGGGACACUGCGAGGUGGGUAGUUUAUUUGGGGCGGAUGCCUCCUAAAGAGUAACAGAGGUGUGCGAAGGUAGGCUCAAGCUAAGAUUCUACUCGUGAGCGUAAUGGUAUAAGCCUGCCUGACUGUGAGACCGACUAGUUGAACAGAGAUGAAAGUCAGCCAUAGUGAUCUGGGAGUCCCGUGUAGAAGGGCUCUUGCUCAAUGGAUCAAAGGUACGCCAGGGAUAACAAGCUGAUGACUCGCAAGAGCUCUUAUCGACGGAGUCAUUUGGCACCUCGAUGUCAACUCAUCACAUCCUGGAGUUGAAGAAGGUCCCAAGGGUUCGGUUGUUCGUCGAUUCAAGUGGUAUGUGAGUUGGGUUUAGAACAUCGUGAGACAGUUCGGUUCCUAUCUACUGUUGGUGUUAAAGGGAGAACUGCGAGGAGCCAACCCUAGUACGAGAGGACUAGGUUGGGCCAACCUAUGGUGUACUGGUUGUUUUGCCGGGCUGUUAAGUUGGUAUGGAAGAACUAUUGCACCGCGGGAAAUCCUUACAAGUUCUCGGACGAGGUUUUUGAACAUAACUUCAAUAGGCGAGAGGUGUAAGCACCGAGAGGUGUGAAGCAAUCUCGUACUAAAUGAGACAACUUUCACUU